Molecule: transfer RNA, 71 nt
Filed under: Loxodonta africana (African savanna elephant)
Lineage: Eukaryota; Metazoa; Chordata; Mammalia; Proboscidea; Elephantidae
Rfam family: tRNA
About the family: Transfer RNA (tRNA) molecules are approximately 80 nucleotides in length. Their secondary structure includes four short double-helical elements and three loops (D, anti-codon, and T loops). Further hydrogen bonds mediate the characteristic L-shaped molecular structure. tRNAs have two regions of fundamental functional importance: the anti-codon, which is responsible for specific mRNA codon recognition, and the 3' end, to which the tRNAs corresponding amino acid is attached (by aminoacyl-tRNA synthetases). tRNAs cope with the degeneracy of the genetic code in two manners: having more than one tRNA (with a specific anti-codon) for a particular amino acid; and 'wobble' base-pairing, i.e. permitting non-standard base-pairing at the 3rd anti-codon position.
Source: Rfam by way of RNAcentral
GCAUUGGUUGGUCAGUGGUAGAAUUCUCACCUUCUAUUCGAGAGACCAGGGUUUGAUUCCCAGCCAAUGCA